CCACCAGCUCAUCUCGUCUCUCUCCCUCAUCUCUCCAUCUAACCUAAAAAACAGCAUUCAAACCUCAUUUCUACCUACAAAUCAGGAUAAAAUUCAAAGGACAUGGCUCAUCUUCUUCAUCUUCCAGAAAAUUCAAAGGACAGGGCUCAUCUUCUUCUUCAAUUCCAUCUAAUCACCAGUAUCCAGAUUGAAGUAGUGUGUUGCUGAGGAGUUGCUGUGAAGAUGAGAGUUUGCUUGGAUGCAUGGUAGAACCUCCUUUCUACAUUGCAGACAGAAUUGAAGAGUUGAAGAUUGCUAUUCAAAUGCUGAACAGGAGCUUACUCAAGCGCUACUGUUUUGAAGAUUUGGUGAUUGGAUGCAUCAGCUUAGGGGGAGUCUGUUGCUGACAGAAGCUGUUAAAGCUGAAGCUAUCCAAAGACCAAAAGACUUGAAGAUUCUGAAGACUGGAGUUACCUUUACGAGCUAUUGUCAAGGGGGAGUUUGUUGGUGCAUGUUUGUGACAACAGCUUAGAUUUGGUCUUUGGAUAUCUUGUAAUUAGUAAAAUGAUAAACAGUUAGCGGGUUUAGCUUUGUAAUAGUUUGUAAUAGUGAAUUAAGAGUGAUUGGGCCAAACCAAACCCACAUAUGGGGGAGGGUUUGCGAAUUGGGCCUUGCCCAAGACCUAGCCCAUAUGCAAAGCUUUGUCCUAUAUAAACAAAGCUUAGCAUUAGGGUUUAGGUUAAUCACCUUAAUCACUUGGAGAGAAUUCGUGAAAGACAACGGCUUGGACGAAUUAGGAUCUUGAUUGAUUGUAAUCGUUACGAAGAUAAUCAAUAAAGAUCGGGU
This 825-nucleotide long non-coding RNA is filed under the name Helianthus annuus (common sunflower). RNAcentral's name for it is "hypothetical non coding rna". The record is from RNAcentral. Lineage: Eukaryota; Viridiplantae; Streptophyta; Magnoliopsida; Asterales; Asteraceae.